AAUAACGGCAAACUUGCAGAAAUGUAAGGACGCAAAGCUCGGAUUCUAAGGUUAAUGACUAUGAAAGUUCGGUUGC
RNAcentral lists this non-coding RNA (76 nucleotides) under pig gut metagenome. RNAcentral describes it as "Cyclic di-GMP-I riboswitch". It matches the Rfam family "c-di-GMP-I riboswitch aptamer", at positions 6 to 83 of the family's 87-position model. From Rfam's summary of the family: GEMM was predicted in a large-scale screen for bacterial structured RNA regulatory elements. Genes associated with GEMM are involved in a diverse array of functions, including chemotaxis regulation, signal transduction, secretion and chitin. The record is from RNAcentral.